This 164-nucleotide ribosomal RNA is filed under the name Canscora diffusa. Its description in RNAcentral is "5.8S ribosomal RNA". It matches the Rfam family "5.8S ribosomal RNA". From Rfam's summary of the family: 5.8S ribosomal RNA (5.8S rRNA) is a component of the large subunit of the eukaryotic ribosome. It is transcribed by RNA polymerase I as part of the 45S precursor that also contains 18S and 28S rRNA. RNAcentral also lists the same sequence under 2 other names. The record is from RNAcentral. Lineage: Eukaryota; Viridiplantae; Streptophyta; Magnoliopsida; Gentianales; Gentianaceae.
AAAACGACUCUCGGCAACGGAUAUCUCGGCUCUCGCAUCGAUGAAGAACGUAGCGAACUGCGAUACUUGGUGUGAAUUGCAGAAUCCCGUGAACCAUCGAGUCUUUGAACGCAAGUUGCGCCCGAAGCCUGUUGGCCGAGGGCACGUCUGCCUGGGCGUCACGC